Molecule: unclassified non-coding RNA, 184 nt
Filed under: uncultured Sordariomycetes
Lineage: Eukaryota; Fungi; Ascomycota; Sordariomycetes
Description: sequence contains ITS1
Source: RNAcentral
CGAAAAGGAGUAUCCGUACUCUUAAACCCUUUGUGAACCUUACCUAUCGUCAGUUGCUUCGGCGGGAGGCCCCUGGGAGGGGCCCCGGGGCCCGGCCUGAGCCGGGCUCCCGCCGGAGGAGCGCAAACUAAAACUCUUGCUGUACCUCAGUGGAACGUCCGAGUCAAAACAAAAAAACAAGUUA